Molecule: long non-coding RNA, 321 nt
Organism: Ficedula albicollis (Collared flycatcher)
Lineage: Eukaryota; Metazoa; Chordata; Aves; Passeriformes; Muscicapidae
Exons: 4
Source: RefSeq, a predicted model, not a curated record
AAAAAGAAAGGGAAAAUACAUAAGAAAGCGUAGCUAGGGCAGCGCAGGGAAGGAGAUUGGAUGAAAUUCUGGAGUCACAGAAACAAAACCACUUGAUGGACCCAGGCUGGAGAAGGAGAUGGAAGUAAACCAGCAAUCCCUGAAGGACACUGUUGGGGAAUUCACAUUUCAGUAGAGAGGAGAAAGAAGUGGCUGCAGAAGACGUAAAGCAGCUGAGGAAUCUCAGAGGUCAUGAAGAGCAUGGCAGGAGCAGUUCUUGGAGCUGUACAUGGCAGUGUGUCACUCUGCACUGGGAAGCUUGAAGGAAAGACCAGAUAAACC